Molecule: ribosomal RNA, 450 nt
Filed under: uncultured bacterium
Lineage: Bacteria
Description: bacterial SSU rRNA
Rfam family: Bacterial small subunit ribosomal RNA
Source: RNAcentral
GUCCCAGACUCCUACGGGAGGCAGCAGUGGGGAAUAUUGGGCAAUGGGCGCAAGCCUGACCCAGCAACGCCGCGUGAAGGAAGAAGGCCCUCGGGUUGUAAACUUCUUUUAUCAGGGACGAAACAAAUGACGGUACCUGAUGAAUAAGCCACGGCUAACUACGUGCCAGCAGCCGCGGCAAUACGUAGGUGGCAAGCGUUAUCCGGAUUUACUGGGUGUAAAGGGCGUGUAGGCGGGAGAGCAAGUCAGACGUGAAAUUCCAGGGCUCAACCCUGGAACUGCGUUUGAAACUGUUCUUCUUGAGUGAUGGAGAGGCAGGCGGAAUUCCGUGUGUAGCGGUGAAAUGCGUAGAUAUAAGGAAGAACACCAGUGGCGAAGGCGGAUUACUGGACGAUAACUGACGGUGAGGCGCGAAAGCGUGGGGAGCAAACAGGAUUAGAUACCCCUGUA